CAGGUUUGGAGCCGAAGUAGGGGCGGAGCUAAGAUGGUGAUGAGGCCCUGGGAAGAGGGUCGCCGGACCAGUGGGGAAGGCCGUGCAGGAGAUGGAGAGCCGGGAACCAGGACAGCGCUUGAAAGGAGAUGCUGUGGGCGGGGCUAAAUGGAGAAUCGCCCAGAGGGCGGAGCCACGGGUGGAGGGAGGCGGGGCUGAAGAGAAGCUUAGAGUGGGAGGAAGAUGGAAGCGGGCCUGAAGGAGGCGGGCCCGGAAGCAGGGAGGGGAGGAGGGGCCCCGGGGGUGGCUACUCUGGGCGGGUGCCGGAAGGAGGCGUGCCCCAAGGAAGGACUGAGGGGUGGUGCUUGAGGUGGGCGGGGCCUGGAGAUGGCGCUCAAAUCUGCAGGCUGUGGGCGGUGCAGGAGGGAUCCGGAAGAGACGAGGCAGGAAGAAACUCCUGGUCCUUUCGCUUUUAAGGAACGUGCCACCUAGACAAGGUGAGGGUCGCUCUUCGCUGCCUAAUCUGGGACUGGGCGGAGAGGCCGCGCUAAGGGUGAUCUCCGAAAAAGAUGCAGGAGAUGUUUUAUAACUUGAUCCAGGUGCUAGUCCUCUCUCCUACACAUUUCUCCUGUCGGGAUUUCUCACUUUCAGUGUUCCAGCCUCCGGUGAACCAGUCUUCCUAGUGAGAGCACGAGAAGCCCGUUGUCCUUCAUUCCUCAGCUAUGGAUUUCCCUGAAAGUUGAGAACUGACCAUAUUCUCGAUGCCUCCUCCGACCUGUGAUUUCAUGACUCACAUCGCUUCCCCAGAACCUGCUUAACAGACGGGAUUCCUGAGAAUGGAGCAGAGUUUGAAUUCAGAGUCCUGGCUUUGCCAUACCAGCAGUUAUAAUUGUCCUUCUGUUGUUUGAUGACCUCCCUGCCCUGCUUCAAAAGGAAGAGAAAUCAAAGAGUUGACGACCCUGAGCGCAAGGCCUGGGACGUUCUUCCCCAAACUCGCUUUAAUAUCACCUUCUCAAAAGAACUCUUCCCUGAACACCUUGUCUCAAGAUGUUCUCUAGUUUGUCUUCUUGUUCUGUCAUUUAUUUGUCUGUUCAUUGUUUGUGUGUUUUUUGAGGCGGAGUCUAGCUCUGUCGCCUAGGCUGGAGUGCAGUGGCACGAUCUCGGCUCUCUGCAACCUCUGCCUCCUGGGUUCAAAGCGAUUCUUGUACCUCAGCCUCCCAAGUAGCUGGGAUUACAGGCGUGUACCACCAUGCCCGGCUAAUUUUUGUAUUUUCAGUGGAUACGGGGUUUCAUCAUGUUGGCCAAGCUGGGCUCUAACUCCUGACCUCAGGGGAUCUGCAUUUGAGGAUAAACCCUGUCUUGGCUCCUCCCUGACGGGGGUGAGAAGUAGCCCUCCUGGAAUUGCCUCAAAGCCCCCGGUUAUCACCAGUGUUCUCGGUUGCAAAUUACGAAACAUAAAUAAACUCAGACUAACAGAUGCAGCAAAGGAAUUUAUCAGGAAGGAAUGGGGAGCUCCCAGAACUGAUGGGAAGGCUGGAGAACCAGGCUCAGAAAAUGCACUGAAGUGGUGAGCGCAGAGGCUUGAAUGUUGCCAGGACUCUCCUCCCAGUCCUUUAUCUCUUCUCUCUGUAUGCGAGCUUUUCUCCUCAAGGCUAGGCACCUGGCUGCAGCAGCGCUCACCACUCACAACUCUCACCCGUUCCACCGGAGAGAGACUGAGGAUUUCUGCUUCUGGUCUGAAGGACAAAAUUUUAGGGAAAAACUUUGAUUGGUCCAACAUAGGUAAGUCCCCGUCCCUAGACCAAUCAUCUAUGGGUGGAAAACCAGGUGCUGUGACUGGCCCAACUUAAGCCAGGUGCCAUUCUCUAACCAAUACUGUGAAUAAGGAAGUGGGACGUACAGGGAGAUGGCAGCCCCAUCGGAACCAUAUGGUCAGAGAAAGAUGCAUUUCCCAAAAGAUGGAGUUCAUGCUCUGGGGCAGAUUGAAUAAUAGAUUUUCACUACACCUGCCCCAGAGUUACCCCCAACCAAUACAUUACUUACUGCCCAACUCUCAUCAUUCCUUCUCUGCUCAAAACCCUUCAAUGGGCUGGGCGCGGUAACUCACGCCUGUAAUCCCAGUACUUUGGGAGACCGAGGUGGGGGGGAUUACUUGAGGUCAGGAGUUCAAGACCGGCCUGGGCAACAUGGUGAAACCCCAUCUCUACUAAAAAUAUAAAAAUUAACCGGGCGUGGUGGCAGGCACCUGUAAUCCCAGCUACUCAGGAGGCUGAGGUGGGGUAAUCGCUUGAACCUGGGAGGUGGAGGUUGCAGUGAGCCGAGAUCAUGCCACUGCACUCCAGCCUGAGACACAGAGAGAGACUCCGCCUCAAAAACAGAAAAACAAAAAACAACCUUCAAUAGCCUCCCAUUGCCAUGUCAUCAGCAUGGAUCAAAAACUCAAAUGUCAUGCCGGGCACAGUGGCUCAUUCCUUUAAUCCCAGAAUUCUGGGAGGCUGAGGCAGGAGGAUUGCUUGAACCCAGGAGUUUGAGACCAGCUUGGGCAACAUAGUGAGACCCUGUCUCUACAAAAAAAAAAAUUUUAAUUAGCUGGCAUGGUAGCAUGUGCCUGUACUUCCAGCUACUUGGGAGGCUGAGGCCAGAGGAUCACUUGAGCCCAGGAGGCCAAGGCUACAGUGAGACAUGCUCACACCACUGCAUCCAGCCUAGGCAACAGAGUGAGACCCUUCUCAAAACAAAUAACAACAACAGCAAACCCUCAGGUGUCUACAGGGGCUAGAAAGAAGGUUAGGCAUGAGACAAUAGGGAGUGGAGAGCACUGUCAUGAACUGGAGGAUGUGUGUUGCAUACUGUUCCUAGAAUGCAGGUGCUGAGAUGUAGGAUUCUUCAAGAGAGCCCCCAAAUCUGGAUUUUCAUAUAAAAUCUCCCAAUUUCUAAAUGUUGGCUCAACUAUUUUUAAAAACCCUGUGCAAGCCAAAUGAAUUAUGUCUGCAGGCCAAUUACUGUAGGCUGUGGUCUAAAAAUGAGCAAUCUCUGACCUUUAUAGGAUAAAGCCUAUAAUCACACACCCACCUUUGGGGUCUGUCAUCUAUUACUACGUAAGAAAUCAUCCCGAAAAUGUAGUGACUUAAAACAACAAUGAUUUGUUACUUCUCACAAUUUUAUAGAAUGACCAGGUGGUUCUUCUGCUCCAUGUGGUGUUGGCUGGGAAAAGCUUCCUCCUGUCUCCACCUCCACAUGUUCUAUUUCCUUUUCAAGCCCAACUGCCAAUGGCGCCUCCACCCUGAAGCCUGCCUCAUCUCCUGUGCCACACACAUUGCCACUGGCCAAGUCUAAAUGAGAUGCCGUGCUCUCCAAGCUUUGUUGCUCUUUAUGUAUAACUAUUAGAGCACACAUUUAGCUCACCUAGAGAAUGGAGGUCUGCCUUGUCCAUCUUUAUUUCCUUCUGGCACAGUCACACAGGAAAGCCCCAUGGGUGCUGUCAGAUUGGAUUGAACUGAGCUGACUCUUGGAGAUAUUUAGUCAAACUUGCCCAUUUUACAGAUGGAGAAAUGACAACUGGAGAGGGGAGUUCUACUGGAGAGGGGAGUUCACACAUAUACACUGAAAGCUGCCCAUCAAAAGAGUUGCAGAACCAGGACUACAGCCCUUGCAUCUUGACUGCCAGUACGAUGCAGGUUAAACUCUGUGUUUGAUGCUUGUUGAUGUGGACGUCUGGAACUUGAAUAGAAGACAUUUCUUAUUUCAGAUGCAUCCAUUAGCAGGUCUUAGCCAGGAGCCAGGCCCUUGCAAGUAUAUAUUGCAAGUAAUUGAUGACAUUGGAGCCAGAAAUCGAAUGAACCGGGCCCAGUUCAAUCCACUUACUGGACAAGCUCCUCAAGCACUCUAAGCCCCAAUUUCCUCCUCUGUAAAGUGGGCAUAAAUUACAUUUACCUUGAGGGUUGCUGUGAAGGCUAGAAAUAAUAUAUGUAAUGUCCCCUGAUACACAGAAGGUGCUCAAGAAAUAGUAAGCUCUUCUAAUGAUUGUUAUUGAUGGCAAAGAUGAUGAAAAAACAAAUGCUCUGACUUCUCAAAGGAGAGAGAAUCAUCCCUGAGGAUUGUGUCUUGGAGAACAUAAAUCCAUAUUUUCUCUUUCCUGAACAAAUUCCCUCUGGAAGGGCACAAAGGGAACAAAUUCCCUUGUUAGGAAGGAAGGAAGGGAAGGAAGGAUGGAAAACAAGAGCAAGGAAGGGUUGGCAGGUUGUGACUGUCUACCUCUCCCUGAGGCUUGCUCUGCUACACCCACCCCAAACUCUGGUCCAUCCCAUUUCCAUGCUGAGAUCAGGCCACACACAGAAGUGUUGGUGUCAGACCACCAGCUUUGAGCCAUCCCUGGGAAUCCCCAGGAUACUGGAUAGCAGAUUUGGAGCAUACAGUUCCCACCCACUGUGACUGACGGCUAGGGAGCUCAAGGUUAUGGAGGAAGCUCUCAUAAGUCAAUGCAAGUUUGUGUGUCUCCCGUUCCUCACUGGCUUAGCCCUCAGAGCCCUUGUCCCUGCUUUCUGCCUUGCAACUAGGUCUUCACAUUAGUGUUUUAUCAAACAAAAGACAGGCUGACAUCUUUAAAGUAUGGUCUUUAUUAAGUAGGGAGCAAAUCAUUCCACACCUUCCCUCCCAAUACCUCCCUCACCAGUGACUUCAAGCCUUCAAACAAGAGGGGACACCUCUCCCCACUUCCCAGUGACCUUUCUCCGCCCCUCAUUGCAUCCAUGAGUGACACCACUGAGAUCAGAUGCAGUGAUGUUAAUUGAAAUGGACAUUAAGGGCUCACUUGCUCAAGCAGAAGCACAUUAGAAGAAAUAUAAACGAGGAAGACAUUGGGUCAGUAACAUUUGUUCUAAUGAGAAUAACCAUCUCUAGAGCAUCUUGUUCAAAAAGGAUUGAGUGCCCAGGAAACAACAGAUACAUGAGGCCUUCCACCCCCACCCCACCCCCAAUACUCAGAAGUGUCACACAUACUUGCAGAGACUUUUCAAUCAUCCUUGCUUCAAUCAUGAUUCCCCAGGUGCAUUUCUGUGGGUGUCACCCAGCACAUUCCCCCUCGUGUUCUUCAUCUGUUUCUCCAAAUCUACUUCUCCAUAUUAUUUUAAGAGUUUGUGACCAGAUGUUGGUAACAUGUGGUCCCAGAUGUUCUUAUUUGCUAUACCUCAGGAAUUCUUGACUAAGUGACCCAAGAGCUUCUCAACUUUGGAUCCAAUAAGGGGAACCUAAGGCUAAAAGAAUCCCAUCUGGAGUAGAGAGGAAGAUACCCAAUUACCCAAUUUUUUUGUUUGUUUUUGUUUGUUUUCUGAGACAGAGUCUCUCUCUGUCACCCAAGCUGGAGUGCUGUGGUGCGGUCAUAGCUCACUGCAGCAUUGAACUCCUGAGCUAAGCAGUCCUUCUGCCUCAGCCUUCCGAGUGGCUGGGACUAUAGGCAUGUACCACCAUGCCCAGCUAAUUUUUAAAAAAAGUUUUUGUAAAGACAGGGUCUCCUUAUGUUGCAAAGGCUGGUCUUGAACUCCUGGGCUCAAGAGGUCUUCCCACCUCAGCCUCCCAAAGUGCUGGGAUUACAGGCAUGAGCCACCACAUCUAGCCCAAGUUUCUGCAUAAAGAACAUGAAGGUUUUCCUUAGAUCAUGCUUUACAUGGCACAUCAUGUCUUUAUGGUUAUUAGUGGGCAGUUGCAAGGUAUAGAUACCAUUUUUGUCUAUGCUGUAUCAUCUCCCAAUAUUCUUAACAGCAUCUGACUUAAAAAAAUUUUUUUUUUGAGACAAGGUCUUCCUCUGUCACCCAGUAUGGAGUGCAGUGCUGCAAUCAUGGCUCACUGCAGCCUCAACUUCCCAGGCUCAGGUGAUCCUCCCACCUCAGCCUCCAGAGUAGCUGGGACCACAGGUCGUGCCACCAUGCCCAGCUAAUUUUUGUAUUUUUUUGUAGAGACAGGGUUUUGCCAUGUUCCUCAGGCUGGUCCCUAACUCCUAAGCUCGAGCAAUCUGCCCGUCCCAGACUCCCUGUAAGUGCUUGGAUUACAGGCAUGAGCCAUUGUGCCUGGCCAGCAUCUGAUUUUUCUGUGAGCCUCUACUCCUAUUCUUGGUCCAGGCCAUAAAGAGUAUGGAAACUAAAGUCUGACUGCCUAGGUUUGAAUAUUGGCUCUGCCAUUGACCAGCUAUGUGAACCUGGAAAAAUUCCUAACCUCUCUGUGCCUCAUAUAAGAAAUGUGGAGAAUAGUAUCUACCUCAUGGAGUUUUUGGGUUAUAUGAGUUAAUUCAGAUAAAAUGUUUAAAAGAGUGACUGGCACAUAGUAAACACCCCCCAAAUGUCAUCUAGUAUUAAUAUUAUUACUAUUAGUUCAGAAGGGGCUGACUUCAUUCCCCCUGGCCCUGGUGAUGGCACCUGACCCAGGCCUGGCCAAUCAGGACAUUCUGUCCCCCUGUCCACCAUGGAGUCCUUCUCCAUGGUCAGUCAUACCAGUCAUUUGGAUUGGCACUGUGGGCUGUGAUCUAAUGUGAACUCUGAAAGCCUGGUCAUGCUGGGCCAAAGCUGCAAAGUAAAGGUAAACAUCAAAUCUGGGCUGGUUCAUCAGGAGAGAACAUUCUGAGUAGGGAGACCUGGGGACUAUCCAGUUUCACCUUGCAGGUGAAGGCCCACUCUCCCUACUCUAGCCGUUAGUUAGACCCCAUGAAAAUAAUUGCAGUAGACUGUUAAUUUGAUGGCUUCCAGUGAACCAUGCUUCUGGCAUUCAUACUCUUAUGUAGUCCCCUCCCACAUUGAUUCUGGACUUUGCCAUAUUGAUGCAGGGCAGGUAAGCCCCAGAAUUGGGGCUUAGCCCGAGAAGGUUCUUCACUUCAUCCAGGAAAGAAUUCAAGGGCAAACAGGUGGUGGUAGAUGCCAACAUUUUUUUUUUUUUUUUGAGACGGAGUCUUACUCUGUCAUCAGGCUGGAGUGCAGUGGCACGAUCUCUGCUCACUGCAACCUCCGACUCCCUGGUUCAAAUGAUUCUGCCUCAGCCUCCCGAGUAGCUGGGAUUACAGGCAGACACCACCAUGCCCAGCUAAUUUUUGAAUUUUAGUAGAGAUGGGGUUUCCCCACGUUGGUCAGGAUGGUCUCGAUCUCCUGACUUCAUGAUUCACCCACCUCAGACUCCCAAAGUGCUGGGAUUACAGGUGUGAGCCACUGUGCCCAGCCUAGAUGGCAACUUUUAUUGGAGCAGCAGUGUCCAACAGCAGCAGAGGUACUGCUCCUUGUGGAACAGGACUACCCCCUAGGCAGCAUGCCCAGAGUAGCAGCUCAGGGGUAAUUCUGUCGUCAUAUUUAUACCCACUUUUAAUUACAUGCAAAUUAAGGGGCAGGUUAUUCAGAAUUUUCUGGACAAAGGAUGAUACUUCCAGGCCAUUGCCAUGGAAAGGGGUGGUAACUUUUAGGUGUUGCCAUCACUGUGGUAAACUGACGUGGUGUUGCUGGGUAUGUCUCAUGGAGAGGUGCUUUCACUGCUUCCCUGUUCACCUAGUCUUCAAUCUGGUCCAGAGUUUCAGCCCCAUCUCUGGAGUUGAGUCCUGCCUUCUCCCUCAAUGUGACAAAUGUUGGCCAAUGGUAUAUCGCAGUUGUGAUGCAAGCAGAGGCUUGGUAAAUGCCUGCAUACUGGGGUUUGUCCUCUUGGAAUGCUCAUUUGUGGGAGCCCUGAACAACUAUGUAAGAAGUCUGGCUACCCUGCUGGAGAGAACACAUGGUGGGAAGAGACUAAAAUUAUGUGAAGAGAGUCAGGCCAGCCAUCCCAGCUUCUCUGCUGAGCCCCGCCAUCAGCCAACCUGCCAGCUGAAUGCAACCGUAAGAGUGAUCACCAGCAAGAUCACUAGAAAAACCACCUAACUGAGCCCACCCUGGAUUGAACAAUCAUAAACAAAUAAAAUGGUUAUUGUUUUAAAUCACAAAGUUUUGGGGUUACAUAGCAAUCGAAACAACAAUCAUGUUCAAUAACAUUUCCUAGCUCCACAGAGUUCUGAGAGCUCUCCCACAUCUAAGAGAUUAGGAUUGUUAUUAGCCCCAUUUUACAGAUGGGGAAGCUGAGGCCCAAAGAUGGGAAGCAACAGCCCAGUCAAGCAGAGACAGAGCUGUCACAUUCAUACACUUCUGAGUGAGCUCCUUUCACCGCACCUCCCACUGCAGUAGCUCCUGUCUAGUUGAAGAAACUUAUAAAGAGCAGCAGAGAGUGGUGAGGUAUAGGAGCACUGGACUGGGAUUGACAAUAGCCUGGCUUUAAGUUGGCCAUUAUUUGUCUGUAUGUGCUUAGACAACUCAAACCACUUCCCUCCCUGAGCCCAUCUUUCCAGCUGUUCAGUGAGGGGGGAAGCAAACUGAAAUGCUCGCAGAGGCCAGGUAGAUAACACAGACAAGGGAAGCAGGUCAGGUGAGGACUACGGUGGCUGAGCCCAUGCCCUUCUAAGCGGGGGCGGUCACUACCCAGCUUCAACCAACUGUUACCAUAUGGAAUCGGGGCCCAUUGUAGCUAGAUCACCUGAUUUGUUUCUUUUCCUUGGAGAGACAGGAAAUGUAGGUUAUGAUGUUAAAUUUCCCAACAUUAAAAUGUUAUAUACAGCUCAGGAAAAGCAGGGAAAAGAAAAAGAAAUGUUAUGAAUUUAUUUGAAUUUUUAAAAAAUAAACAGCCAUUCAAACCUACAGGCUGCUGGUUUGAAACCCUGGAUCAGAUUAUUUCAAAAUUUCCUGCUAGAGUUUAUGCCGACAUCAAAGAAGGAUGCCUACCGGUCCCAGCCCUGCCCUACGCACACAGAGCGGUUCCAUCUAUCUCCCCAUCCCAACUCACAGAGCCUGAACACCAGAGAGGCCUUGGGUGUGGCUACCAUCUUUCUCUCUGAGGACUCUCAUCUCCAGCCCUACCACCCCUCUGGCUACAAGGAAUGGGGUGCAGAGGCCCAGUUUCGAAUGCCUAAAGUUGCUGGGGCUUCAAAGGAGGGCCAAAAGUGGAAAAGAAGUAACACCCAUUAAGCAACUACUGUGGGCCAGGUGUGAUGGUGGAUUGCAACAUUAUGUAAUAGCAAAGGGUCUCAUGACUAUGAGGACAUAAGGGAUUGGAGGAGUGCUGUUCAUCCCUGGUCAUAAUGAGCCUUGGAGACAGACAUGCAGUGCAGCGAGGGACGGCCCAGCUAUUAUUGAUACUAAUUAAAAGGCCAUUAAAUUGAAGGGGCACAUACAGCCCUUCCGUCACCAGCCAGUGCUCUGACAGUCUCACCAUUUUCUGUGAGGCCAGCGCAGCUCGUGU
RNAcentral lists this long non-coding RNA (9267 nucleotides) under Homo sapiens (human). Its description in RNAcentral is "non-protein coding RALY-AS1:6". The record is from RNAcentral. Lineage: Eukaryota; Metazoa; Chordata; Mammalia; Primates; Hominidae.